This 466-nucleotide ribosomal RNA is filed under the name uncultured Fusobacterium sp. RNAcentral describes it as "bacterial SSU rRNA". It matches the Rfam family "Bacterial small subunit ribosomal RNA", at positions 28 to 508 of the family's 1533-position model. The record is from RNAcentral. Lineage: Bacteria; Fusobacteriati; Fusobacteriota; Fusobacteriia; Fusobacteriales; Fusobacteriaceae.
GAUGAACGCUGACAGAAUGCUUUACACAUGCAAGUCAACUUGAAUUUGGUUUUUUAACUUAGAUUUGGGUGGCGGACGGGUGAGUAACGCGUAAAGAACUUGCCUCACAGUUAUGGACAACAUUUAGAAAUGAAUGCUAAUACCUGAUAUUAUGGCUAUAGGGCAUCCUAUAAUUAUGAAAGCUAUAAGCACUGUGAGAGAGCUUUGCGUUCCAUUAGCUAGUUGGAGAGGUAACAUCUCACCAAGGCGAUGAUGGGUAGCCGGCCUGAGAGGGUGAACGGCCACCACGGGACUGAGACACGGCCCUUACUCCUACCGGAGGCAACUUGGGGAAUAUUGGACAAUGUACCGAGAGUCUGAUCCUCCAUUCUGUGUGCACGAUGAAGUUUUUCGGAAUGUAAACUGCUUUCUGUUGGGAAGAAAAAAAUGACCGUACCAACAGAAUAAGUGACGGCUACCUACGUGA